This 19-nucleotide non-coding RNA is filed under the name Arabidopsis thaliana (thale cress). Lineage: Eukaryota; Viridiplantae; Streptophyta; Magnoliopsida; Brassicales; Brassicaceae. The record is from RNAcentral.
GCAGUUCCCUUGGAGAUGG